AGGAGUACGGCGUAAAACGUGUUAAAGCACCACACCAAAUAGGGUUAAAUUCUAACCAAGCUGUAAAAAGCCAUGAUUAAAAUAAAAAUAAAUGACGAAAGUGACCCUACAGUAGCCGACGCACUAUAGCUAAGACCCAAACUGGGAUUAGAUACCCCACUAUGCUUAGCCCUAAACACAGAUAAUUACAUAAACAAAAUUAUUCGCCAGAGUACUACUAGCAACAGCUUAAAACUCAAAGGACUUGGCGGUGCUUUAUAUCCUUCUAGAGGAGCCUGUUCUAUAAUCGAUAAACCCCGAUAAACCUCACCAAUUCUUGCUAAUACAGUCUAUAUACCGCCAUCUUCAGCAAACCCUAAAAAGGAAAAAAAGUAAGCGUAAUUAUGAUACAUAAAAACGUUAGGUCAAGGUGUAACCUAUGAAAUGGGAAGAAAUGGGCUACAUUCUCUACACUAAGAGAAUCAAGCACGAAAGUUAUUAUGAAACCAAUAACCAAAGGAGGAUUUAGCAGUAAACUAAGAAUAGAGUGCUUAGUUGAAUUAGGCAG
RNAcentral lists this ribosomal RNA (547 nucleotides) under Bos taurus (domestic cattle). RNAcentral's name for it is "partial small subunit ribosomal RNA". It matches the Rfam family "Bacterial small subunit ribosomal RNA", at positions 606 to 1374 of the family's 1533-position model. The record is from RNAcentral. Lineage: Eukaryota; Metazoa; Chordata; Mammalia; Artiodactyla; Bovidae.